Molecule: non-coding RNA, 75 nt
Organism: Podarcis lilfordi (Lilford's wall lizard)
Lineage: Eukaryota; Metazoa; Chordata; Lepidosauria; Squamata; Lacertidae
Source: the annotation of a GenBank genome assembly
GGAAGGACUGUAGCUCAAUGGUAGAGCAUCUGCUUUGCAUGCAGAAGCUUCCAGGUUCAGUCCCUGGCAUCUCCA